UCCCACCUCCCCCAACGCCAUUCCCCCUCUCCGCCUCCACGCCUCCCGAGCCCAAACAAAACCCUAGCUCCGGCGCCGCCACCUCGCCGUCCGGCUCCUCCCGCCUCCAGCAGCAGCAGCAGCAAAUGGCCCGCCCCUCCGCCGCCGUCGUGAUCGCCGCCUUCGUGGCCUUGGCCGCGCUGGCCACCGCGGCCUCCGCCGCCGAUUUGGCGCCGGCCCCCGCCCCGACCUCCGGCGCCGGCGCCCUCUCGGCGCCGCUCUCCGCUGUCUGCCUGGCCGGGCUCCUCGCCGCCUUCCUCCGCCACUGAGCCGGCGGCGGCCGCCUCGCCCGCGUGCGCGUGUCUUCGUCGGAUCUAGUAGUACAGUGGUAGUGAGAGUCUUAUUAGUGGUAGUAGCAGUAUUGUAGUGGUUGUGAUAGUGCCAUGGAGGGAGAGGCAUUUGUUUUGGUGGUUCGCCGGGCGGAUGGAUCUGAGGGUUUCGUGUGGGGAUUUUGAGAGGUUUUUGAGGGUGGAUUUGAUUAGCGUGGUUGGUGUGAGUCUAUUCCUAUUAUUUAGUCGCGUCUUGUGUACCUAGUGCUCACUGGCUCUGAGAGUAUUAUUAUUAUUGUUAUGGAUUUAUGAUAUUAUUAUUAUUGUUAUAUUAUUCUCGCGUAUCAUCUCUGUUCAGUUUCAGUAGAUUUAUGCUUAUUAUCAGCAAAAUUCACUGAAAUUUCAUAGAAGAUCACUGUCGCAAAAUCUUAAAUUCACGGUGUGUUAUGAGACCGAUUCUGUUGGGCAUCUGCCCUGUCCAGACACUGCGAGGUGUAUGGUUGUGGCAUGCCCUGCUGAGAAUCUGAGCAGAUUGAUAUGAUUCGAGAUGGAAUUUUGUGUGUGCGCGACAUGUGUCCCGGCAUGAAGGGAAGGGUAGAAAGCUUGAGACCGAGGCAGCUUAAAGGCUAAGCAAGCACACGCACGCAGUACGUGUGAGCGAGCGAGGCCGCGCCAGAGCGGAGAUGGAGAUGCCUGUACGGCGUGGCCCACCUGUUUGGGCAGCACAUGGGCAGCGGUUGGGGGUUCGUUGUGACCACCUGGCCGACGCCCCCGCCACCCAGAGGAAUAGCUCAAUCGCAUCGCGUUGCCAAGACUCUCCAGAAUUUUCUGCGUGUAUAAUGCGCCCUUCCAUACUUGGGAAUCCUGGGAAUUCCCCCUCCCAAACGACGCUAACCAGAAUAGGAAUCCAUCCACGCUAACAAAGAAAUGGGAAUCCUGAUGUUCCUUGGUACCCAUGGGCUUUCCAGCUGAACUCGUCGACAAAGAAGCCCAUCAGAAAACAAAACGACAUCUAAGCUAGACGCGAACCAUGUUCGGGCCAAAUGCCGGCCCUCUAAGCAUGGCCCAGAACUUAAUUUAUUAUACUCGAUGCUAAAAAUUGCUUUCAAAGAUUAUCCUAAAACAAAGAUAUCCAUCAAGAUAGCAAAAAGUUGAGAAUAUUUCAUCAGAGGGAGAAAGGAAAACAGCCAAACAGGCAUGAAAGAGCCGAUGAACCUGGGGCCUCAACUAAUUAUAAGCCUGAGGUCAGCAACAAUAAACUUGAACUUAUAAUCUUAUUCCUUUCCCUGACGAACUAGGCAUAUCGACAAGAUUAUCUGUUUAUUUGUGACAAGAAUCAAAACAAUUGGUGGACCAAAAAUGACUUUCUUCUCCAAUGGAAGGUCAUGGCAGCACCUAUACCAUAAUAUAGGAACUAACUAAACCGUUCAGCUUGCUUUUCCCCCCACCACCAGCCUACCUCACGGACAAAAAAGAGAGAAGAUCUCCGAUUAGAAGCUAAUCCAAGUAGAAAAGCGUCACGAUCUUCCGAAGGUUCUUGGCCUCCUGGCAUGUCUCCAUCAGCAGCUUGCUGUCAUGGAACGCGAAGCAGAUCACCUGUUGGAUCUUCGAGAUGAUGUCCAUGUUGCAUAACCUGAAGGUUACAAGAGUUGCCAUUAAGCAUAAAGAUGAUAUUCAAGAAGCAAUACUGAUUUACAGAAAAUGUGACUUGUCUUUCAGUUCGUCAAAUAGGCAAAAAGACAGAUGCUCGUCGUCUAGAAUACAACAGAUAAACCCCAAAAGUUUACGACCUGUCGCCAUAAUAGUGUAGUAUCAACUCUGAAAAAUAAACUACUCUACAGCUACAGAUGCAUACCCUUGGCCCUUGGGCAGACCCCAAUCUAGAGCUAUAGUUCAUGGCGUCAACCUGUCCAAUGCUUGUUUCGCGUAAGUUCUGUAAAUGAGGCAUCAGAUACUCUUGCAGAAUGUACAGAACAUAGUAUUUGUUUUUCAUGGCAUUAUGAGGUUACUAAUAGUAUUCCAACCAUCUAUGUAACAAUCAAUGAGUUAAAAAAAGUGAUGUCGGUUUUCAUCAAAAGCAUAGUCUCUGACAAGUGCUGGAACUAAAUGAUACACUGAUCAGGCAUGGACCGAAUACAUGUAGCGACACCAUUGGUAACAAAAAAUAUACAAUAUAGGAAAAGUAUGAGCAAUUUCGAAAGGUAGCUGACCAACCUGCUAGCCUCAAUCAGUGGCAAAUGGUCAUACUGUGGUUUCUCAAUCAAGUUUUGUACCUACAAAGUAUACAAAACCUUACUGAAGCAUUUUAAAUUUUACCAUAUGGAAAUGGAACAUCAGGAGGAUGCUAUUUAACUCCUGAGGCAUGCUAUUGGAAUUAAUGCAUAUGACAGUGGAUGCCUAAUAAUCUCACUAUCUAGCCAGAAUCCUAGAUCAUAGGAUAAUGCUAAUGUUUUCUGAACAAUUGCAAGCGGGUUCUGGCCUGGUUGGCUAGCUCAUUGUAGAGCGGAGCUAGCAACCGCGGUUUGAAUCCCUGUUUGCACAGAUAUUAAGCCAUCUAAUAUGGCUGGGGGCUAAACCCCUGUAAUCGUUUUUUUUCCUGAAAACUUCAGAUGCCAUGGUGAGACAUUCCUAACCAAAUUGAUCGCAUUGAUUUUUAAGCAUAUUUACAAUCAAGCUUGAUAAAGAUAGCAACAAAACACUCUAAGGAUCCAAAAUUAAAUACAAACUUUCUUAUGUUUUCUUGUGUAAGAACAGAUGUACAACAGAACUGAAGGUUAAUGGUAACAGCAGAAUUAAUUCAGAAGCCUGCAGUGAAAAUAAAUAGAAUGCUCUCUUGGUGAAGGAUGAAUCAGGUCAACUAUUUAUCUUCGUAUUACUCUAUAGUCUAUACAGAAGAGCAUACACAUAACAAUAACGAAGCACAAUGUUCUCCUAAAGAAUGUUUACAUGUAUGGUCAGGGGAUAUCAAAUUAAAAAGAAUUGGCUGUAAGACCUAACUCAGAGAUGAUAAUACUGUAGUUUACUGUAAACAAAGUAUCAUCAAACAUCAGUUCAUUGAUAGAAAAACACAACUAAGGAAGCUCAUGCAUUUGUCAUACAACCAGCAUCAUCAUGCCUACACCAAUUUGAAUAUCAUAUAGAUUACAAACAUGAUUCAUACACAAGCAUGGGUACAUCUUCUCCUUUUUCGUGGAGCACUAAGAAAUUCUGCAUAACUUGUCUCAAUAUGCUGAAUUUAAUGCGAUGAGCAGUCUAUCAAUACAAAAUCACUAAAUGCCAGCACUAAAUAUAUAGAACAACAGGUAUAUUGGCGCGCAUAGGAAUCUAUACGAAUAGGUCUGGAACUAAUUUUGACUAGAAAAUGACAAGUCAGAAUAGAAAUAUCAGGAAGUCUUACUUUGGACAACAGUUCUUGGCUUUCAGGAGGUUGCUUCUUUAGACUCUGAGGUAAAAUUACAGUAAGCAACUCUGGCUUUUCAGCUCUUAAAGCGCCCCUGAUAACAGCUGCAUUAGUUCCGGAAGCCCCAGAUGUGAAUAUAUGAUUUUUCUGCAAUUUCUACACAAAUAUUACUAACAAUGCUAGAGGACUCAAAGACCAUAUGAAUGGCAACAUCAAAUAAAUCAGGGAGAUCAUAUGAAUCAGUGAAUCACAGUAGCACAUAAAUAAAGAACAUACUGUUAUGACCAUAGCAUAGCUCAGGAUCUCAAUAAGCUGCUGAUGCAUAUACCCCAUGUUGCGGGUUCCAAAGAAACCUAUUGCACGAGGUCCUUGUUGCUGAAUAGCCAACAGCUCCUGCAUGACCACCAAUUAAAUGAGAUCAGUUUGCAGGAUAAAUCAAUUCAUAAACGCCAUGUAUGCAAAGUAGCAUUCAUUAUUGAAAGUCUGAUUGUACUAAACUAACUUUCAGAGGUAACCACUAAAGUUAACUUUGAGUAAACUGAACAGAAAAAAACAAAACACAAUGUAAAAUGAGCAGAAACAUUACCUGUAGGUAAUCUAGAUCAGGGAUCGGCUUGUAUUCUGGUUCAGCAACCAUUGCAGUACCCUUGACAAGAGUCUCUGUCUGAGUAGGAAUCUUUACACCAUCAUCAUCUGGCCCAAACAUAAUAGUAUCAUCUCUUCCUUGACUCCUCACAUCACCUUCAUGCCCAUCUCUUUGCAUGUAUCCGCAGAGCAACUAUACGAGCACAAUAAAAACAGAACCUGGCAGUAAAUCAUUAGUGAAAACCAAAUAUAUUACAUCAUACUAAAUAAAGUUUCCAGUUUUACAAUUUUACUUUGCACCUGUGCUGAUUCUUCAAAGUCAGCUAGCCAUCAAGUAAUCCCAGAUCUAAAGUAACACCAUACCACAACAAGGGCCACAGCAAUUUAGGACACAACCUAAAUUCAGUGAGCGGAUUUGUAUACCCGUUUUAAACCCAACUUUCUGAAGACACAGCAGAAACUUUGAAUAAAAGAUACCAACAAAGGUGACGAGAAUCCCAAGCAUUGGAUUCUGAAUAAAUGUAAAGGGCAGGCUGAAUCCAAUUCAGUGGAGCAUUAAGUAUUUAAAGGGAUCUAGAAGUGUAGCCUUUGAGUUGCACAGUUCACCCUUUAAAGGUAUGCUAAAGAAAAAUAAUACAAACACUUUUGACAUGUAAUGAUAAUAGCCUGCAACAUUUAUCUGCAAAAGAUGAUUAACUUUAUGAAUGGUGCAUAUCUUUACCAUCUAUCAGCCAGAAAGUUCCAUCAAUUGAGGUCGGUCCUAUUCUGAGGCGACCAUGACUUACUCUGCACCUUAGUCCCAACCGCGCACGGUUUGGAUUGACGGGAGCAUAGCUCAGAUGCAGGAAGGUGUGAAUGACAUUAAUAAACUUUAGGCACAGGAUCUAAGCAUCAGCAACACAAGCAGGAUCGCUUGUUACAGUGGACUGUUAAAAUAUCUAAUUUUGACGAACUUUUUCCUUUCCACGGUAAGAAUUUUGAGAUCUCAUUGCACCUAUCAAUCUACCAUGCUAUAUAUUUCUAUUGCAAUUAUGGUGUGACUACAGAGUCUGUAUACUGUAAGUACAGAUCACAGAGGAUUAACAUGCAUGUAAUCUUGAUUUGUGUCGAAUUUGAAGGAAUUAUGAUGGCAACCAAUAUCAAUACACACUCAAUUUGAGACCAUCUUGCAUUCUUGUCUGUCAUUUCUCUCUUUUUCUUAGAACGUGAAAUUACAAUCACCGCAGCAAUCCAAUCAAUAAACAGUUACGAGGAGGGGGAAAUUAUCUUUGGAGGUGAAUUCUACUCCAACCAACCCAUGAUAUCACACAGCGCACACAACAAAACAAGUUUAUAUGUAGGCAAAGUACCCGGUUCAGCCGUGCCACUGCCGGCGGCUGCUUGGUCGCCUGAGCCCAUCCCAGCAAGACGCCGCCGGGGCUCCUCGCGGCCGAGGAACAGUGCAAGAAGCCGCCGAGUCUCAAGUUCAUUCGCGGCGGCGUCCUCAACGAGGGAAGACCGCCAACGGGCGCCGCGGCGCAAGAACCCGCCAUCGUCAUCCGGCCGCCGAUUCCAAUCUACGCAGAGGAGGGAGGGGGAGAACCGCGUGAACUGCUGUGCGUGGCGGCGCUCUCGUGACCAAACCGAGGAUGGCCGCGCGGCGCGGCGCAGGUCAUGUCAGAGGAGGGGGAGGGAAUUGCUGGGUGGGCUGGGGAUGAGACGAGAGAGAGGGAGGGAGGGAGUGAGACUGGACUGGCUCAAGCCGGUUUGGUCCUCUGGCGGCCUCGCUGGCUGCUGUGGUGCGCUUGUGGGGAGGAGCUGGACGCCUUUGGAUAAAAGGUGGCGCACCACCUUGUUUGCCGUUUUUGCGUGCCUCUUCUCUCGACUCUCGUCUAGUUGUUCUUCUACGUUUCUUAUCGAGAAUACUCUUUCUUAUUUUGAUUUUUUUGUCAGACUGUUUUAGGGUUUUUAUCUAGAACACCUGGCUUAAGGAUAGGAAAAAAUAAACCCUAUUCCAAAUUUCAGGGUUCAUUACUAUACUACUAUCACAUCUCAAAUUUCAUAUCAAUGAGUAUGCGUGCACUUCUUUUAAAAAUGCAUUUGUUUGUAUUGUUUCAAUCUAAAUCCAUGUGGUUGUGGCUAAGUCAAAGAGUCUAGCAAAGACAAUUGUUAGCUCUUACGCAAUCUUAUGAGUGUCAUUUAUACUGAGUUUUCUAAAAUUAAUGUUAUAUACUCCCUUAGCUCAGAAAUGAUAAUGUAUAUUUGAAAUUGGGGAAAAGUCCUUCAAAGUAGAUUUUGACUCUUAAUUUCUCUUAUAGUAUAAUGUUAAUAGCUUAUAAUGUUAAUAGCUAAAGACUCAAUAUCAUCUCAAAAAGACUUCGAGUAUAAAUAUAUUGAUGCAAAUUUUACACACUAAGUGUGCUUUUAAUUUAACUAAUUACUGACCAAAGUUUGUAGACUUUGAAUUUUCCUUGAUCAAAAUACGCCUACCAUUGGGAGUAAUUACAAACUACAAACAUUGUGUAAUUCAUCUACCAGUCAAGUUGGUAUUCAUUUAUUAUUUGUUUGAAGACUUCAGAAAUUCUGAAUUAUUUAUUUGAAGACUUCGGGAAUUCUAAGGUGACUAACCCUCCCUACUCUUGUUCUGCUUGGCAUAACACUACCUAUUUCUCACUAGUGUCCUUCAAAUCUCAAUUGUUUUCCCACAGUUAAAACACAUGUUCUAAAUCCAUAAACUACUACAUGAUAAAGGUCCACUCCAAGACUGGCAAGGUUUUGACCCAUCUAAUAAUCCUUUCAGUCUUCACUCUUCACAGACAUUCUAAAUGCUUAUAUAUUGAACUGUAGGUUGAAAUAACACCUGGUUCUGUUUGAACUUGAAUAGUUCAAAUUAAGUAUAUAGCACCUAUUGUAAAAAUAUCAAAAUGGAACACCCGGAUAGUUUCGGGCCUGGUCAGGUCUGGUUCAUGAGAAUGUUAGGUCAAGCCUGAGCUACCCAGUUGGGUUAAAUAACAUCUUUAAACCUUCGAAAACAAAUAUUUUAUUUAAAAUCAUUUAUUCAAAUAAACUCAUUAAAACUUAGAUGCACGGCUGCCGCCAGCAUGUGGGCUAGAAUAUUGUAUCCUUAUUUGGAACAGCUUCCCUAUUGCCUACUCCCUCCGUUUACUCCCUCCGUUCCAAAUUAUAGAUCGUUUUAGCAUUUCAAGGUUCAUAGUUUUUACAAUGUAUCUAGAUACAUACUAAUAGUUAUGAAUCUAGAUUUGCCAAAAUAACCUACAAUUUGGAGCGGAGAGAGUAUAUUCCUAGAACAAUUUUUCUAUCAACAAAAAAAUAGGUAUCUUAUUAGGAUGUAGUUUGGAACCAUGCCAAAUUGCAUAUUUCUUGUAGAUGCAAAAAUAAUAUAUUUCAUAUUUCUAUUUUUUUACUUUGUUGUAUUUUCUUUUUAUGUUUGGGGUAAUCUCUUUGGCUCUAAUGGAAGAAUAUGUAUUGUUUUGUAAGCCAAAUGUGUGUAUGUGAGUCAAAUACAUUAGUACUAAUGAUGAAUUUUUUGUAUUGUGUUAUGACAUGAAUUUGUUUUAUUGUUAAGAUCAAAUUAAAGGGUAUAAUCUCUUUGCCUCACAUGAAAUUAACAUUAUGUUCUUGUGUUAUUAAUUUGCCUUUGUGGACCAAGCGUAGCUUAAUAUAUUAGGUGACAUAAUCCACCUUGGUUUGAGACCGAGUCAUAUUUUUCUGGAUUUAAUUUAGGAAAUAAUGAAACUAUGCUUUCGGCGUACGACGUGAGCAACAUGCAUGUCGACAUUGAUGUGUCGUGCUUAUAGUGUUGGGUUUGCAGGGUGAGUAGAAAUGAGAUUAAAAAAUAUACAUUUUCCUUUUUAAUAAGAAAUAAUUUGUUUUUAACCUUCUUCUUCUGUUAAUGGCUCAGUUUAGUUUUUCGAGUUUGGUUGACCCGCGACGAAUGGCAUAGGGACCUGGCAGGGCCAGUUCUAAGAUUUGGGAAGCCCGGGACGAAAGUAAAACUCGGGACCCUUUAAUAUAAACAUUAUAACAAAUAUAUAUGAAAUGUUACCAAUAAAUAUUAAAUGUAUGUAAAAGCAAUAUUUAUAUCCUUUUCUUUUCCUUUCUCGUUACCUGAUUCAUAUUUUCUUGACGACAUGAUAUCCUACUGUGCAGAAAUUAUUAUAAAUAAAUAAUAGUUAUAAAUUAGUUAAGAUUAAAUAACUUGUGAUAGUGAAUUAAUAAUUAAUGGUAUGGGGAAUUGGCAAUUGAAUCACCUGAUCACAUAAGCGAAUUGACGAUCUCCUAUCUGAUCUCUGCCCGUCUGUCGUUGCACCGAGGGGCGACGGGUGUGCGAUGCGAGCAGGAGAGAGGACCACCGGCAGGAUGAGGCGUUAAGGAUGAGGGGUGCGGUUGAUGAAUCAGGUUCUUGUUUUAACCACGAAGUGGGCCCACCUUAAUGUCACCUUUUACCGUGAACCAUUGUGGGCGGAGCAUUAACAAAUAUUAUCUUUUUCUGAGACCCCACCUUAAUACUAUUUGGAACGUAAGCAAUAUUCAGUCGAUUUUUAUUUCCAGAUCCUGUGAUGUGUCAAAUCCGAUUGAUUUUUUGUUUCUUGUCACUCGAUCUUUCUCUACUGCCCAUUAUUGCUACGUUGCUUCACCCUGUUGGUCUAAAAUUCGACUAACAGCAUCCCAGAUUUUACUCGAUUGUUACAUAGUCAUUCCCGUAUCUCUAUCUUUGUUCACUUAUUUAUAGAAGGGAUCAUGAAAUCCAGAAAUCUGGCCCAGACUAUACACAGAGGUAUAACCUAAUUUAUUUGGAAUACUCACACUGAGCUUUAUUGUUAUAUAUACAUCAUGAAAUGAUCAGAUCAACAUGACGUGUGCGUGCUAUAGUCUUUGAAUCUAUGGCGUGCCCGCCGCGUCGCCGCCGAAGAGGCCCUUGUCGAACACCCAGUCCUCGAUCAUCUCCUGCGCGGCCCGCCCCUGCGCCGCCGGCACCAAGUGCCCGGCCCCGUACACGGCCACGUGCACGAGCGCGCCGUGCCUCUGCACGUACCCGGCGAGCCUCCCUCGCCCGCCGCCGCCACCUCUCCGUCUCCGCCACACAGCGCGGGGGGCGUCCCGGAACGCGGCCAGCCCGUCCCACUCCAGCUCCCGCAGCCAUGCCUCCGCCGCCACCGGCCCGUCCUGCGCGUCGCGGAUCCCCUCGUAGAGGAGGACGCGCGCCGACGCCCCGGCGAGCAGCGCCUCCACGUCCGGCUUGGCGCUCUUCAUCACGUCGUCGUGGAACGCCGCGUCCACCGCCGGGCUUACCAGCUGCCACGGCGAGCCGCCCUCCGACGCGCGCCGCGCUCCCAGCGCCGCCCUCACCUCGGCGCUGUUCAUGAGCGCCUCGGCCACGGCGGCGGCCCCUGCGAACUCGGCCUCCAGGGACGUCUCCACCGCCACGUCGAACAGCGACGCGAGCCCCGUGGCGUUCCGCAGCGACGACAGCAGACGCGCCCGCGCGUCCGACGCCUCGCGCCAGCGCGCCGCGUUGGUCAGCGCCACCGCCGCCGCUUGCAUCGCCUCGGCGUCGCGCUUCUGCUUGUCGUUGAUGAGCCCCAUGAAGUAGGCGGUGUCGGCGUGCGUGGCCACCUGCGCCACGGGGUGGACCAGGCCGUUGCCGAUGGCCACGCCCCGCAGGUUGAUCCGCCGGUGCUCCGGCAGCUCGGGGUUCGUGGCCAGUAUGAGCGAGCCGGCCGCGGGGAUGGACUUACCGGCGUAGCUCUCGCCGGUGAGGAAGAGCGGGCGCGCGCGGAACUCCGCCGGCUGGGCGUCGAAGAAGGACUGGAGCGCGGCGAGGACGUGCUCCGCGACGACGGACUGGUUGGUGGGGAUGGCGGAGGGAGACGGCGCCGAGCUGUAGCCGGUGCCAAGCGGGCUGUCGACGAAGAGGAGCCCGAAGCGGCGGUUCCACGCGAAAGGGUUGGGCGACAAGGGGGCGGAGCUGUUGUUGCGGCCGGCGGCGAAGGUGUAGGGGCCGAUCUGGAAGAAGUUGCUGACGAGGGAGGACACGCCGGGGCCGCCCUCGAGCCAGACGAGGAGCGGCGUGGAGGCCGGCGGGGUCACAGGGUGGGUGGCCUCGUAGAAGGCGAAGUAGAGAGAAGCGUUCGCCGGUGGGAUCGGGAGGUAGCCGGACUUGGUCGGGAGGGCUUCUCUGGGGAACAACGCCGCCGCCGCGGCUGAGCCAUGAACGGCGGGGGCGAGGAAAAUGACGACGAGGAGGGAAAACGGGAGAGGAGAUGCCAUGGUACGUGUUGCCUGAAUGCUGUUGCGUGCCUGUGCUUGAACGUAGUCUUUCUUACACCAUCAUCAGAGCGCCCUAAAUAUGUUUACGUGGCUGAAAAAUCUCGGAAGCCUAGCUGACAAAAGAAAAGUCUCUCAGACGAGUUUCCAAACACGCGGCGCCACAGUGCAGGUGAGGCAAAAGUUCAAUGCCAGGUGUGCUCAGAUUAUUGAACAAGAACUCAAUUGUUUUGCGUGUGUCAGUCAAGCUCCCAUGCAUUCCCUGUUGGACUAGAAAGGUGAUGAGCUAGUAGUAAUCAGUAGCAAGGUUGACCUGAUGAAUAGUGCAGUAUGCCUGGAUUUGUACAGGGUUCUGGUUUCAUUUUCUCACGACUACAACAAAAGUAAGUUCCAGUCUUCCACAGCCGCUCCUUCCAGAUGGUCGACCGUUCCGGUCAGUGAGAACAAUAUUUCUUCCCUGGUUGGUGAGCGGAGACAACAGGUGGAAGAGCUCUUGAAUCUAAUGCUGGAAUUUUGUAAGUUCUUAACUCAAAUGGGAGGCAAGAAAACAGAGACAAGAGCAGAGUACUGCAAAGUAGAACUAAAAAAACGACUAACAAGCACUAGCAAUAUUUUGCAACAACUCCCUCCGUUUCAAAUUGUAGGUUGUUUAAAUUUUUCUAGAAUUAUAGAUAUUAUUAUGCAUCUAAACAUACACUAUAUUUAUAUGCACAGUAAAAACUAAGCACCUAGUAAAAUCAAAAUAACCUACAAUUUGGGAUGGAAGGAGUAGCAAACAGCACACGUGCAGCUAUUUUUUUAGAAAAAAAAUGAUCAAUGGAGCUUGAGCUGUCUACAUAUAAUUUUGACUCGAGUUUGUUACGCCAUUGCCUGUACUUUGUACAGCUAUUGUCCAAGACUAGCACUCACAGUAGAUGCCAUGCAUAAGUAGCAAAUAUGAAUUUGAUUUAAUUUGAUUGCUUGCUAAGCACAGCAAGAUGGAGACCAGCUCCCUCAUGAACGAAGUUUUUUCUAAUCCAUUUGUCCGGAUAUAAUCAACAUUUAACAUCACUUCUUCUGAUUGUAACGGUGCUUCAUUACCUUAAACAUGUACAAAUACUAGUGAGGCGUUCAGAACGAAUCACGUCAUGCCAAAAGAAAAAAAAAACGGCCUCACUAGUUAAGUAGCAUUGCCAGAUUAAAGCAUUAUGUUACCUUGCUAUUAGUCAAGGUUCACAUGGGUGUGCGUAAACUAGGUUUCUAGGUUACGGUGAGCAUGAUGACAUAUACCAUAAGUUGCAUCGGAGCGCAGCAGCAUUUUCAUUUUCUUGAUUUAAAUACGAUAUCAUAUAUAUAUUAAGUUGGAACUAGGCUGAUUUAGAAAAGCCGUUACAAUGGCUAUUUCAGUGCUUGAAAACUAAAGAUUUAGAACUAGGCUGAUUUAGAAAAGAUUGUAUUGUUUACUUACAUUACUCAUAGGUUUAAGUGAACUAGCACAUACAAUGCUUAUGGCUCGAUGAUGGGAAAAAUCCAGUGCAAACUACUUCGGUGGAAACGUGAAAUUGUGAAACCUCCCCUAAAAGCCAUACCCUAAAGUUUCCAAAAAUUAAAAACAAUGUGCAUUCAGAAUAUAUUUAAAGAUUUACUUUGUUGCAAAUUUAAUGUAGAAAAAUCCAUACAAAAAUGACAGAAUUCGAAUGCAUGUGCACUAGGAGACAAAAUUUCUAGGCAUAUGUAUUCUAGUACACAAGCACUUGGAACUUUGUCAUUUUCAUAUGAACUUUUACAAAACGAGUUUGCAUCUCAACUUUGCAACAAAGUACAUCUAUGGAUGGAUAUAGAUGCGCAUCGUUUCAAAAUUUUUAAAAACUUCUAUAUAUUUUUUAAGAAGAAUUUUCAUGUUUCCACCGAAGAGGUGAUUUCCACUAAAUAUUUCCACAUAUCUACUCGCAACUUCAUCCAAGUAGAGGGCUGUUACAGAUACCCACCUAGCUCAUACCACCGGAGGAGCUGGCAAAAUUUGGAAGCCCACUACGCCCAUCGUUAACACAUUUACCACGAAAACCAUAUGCUCCUGGUGAACAGAACAGAAGAUCCUGAGAGUAAACAUAUCGGUUUGAACAGCCAAAUUAAAUUCCUCGGCCGUCAAGCUGGCGAUUCAUCGUCUUCGCGACAGCAAUAAGCAACCGCAGACGAUAAGAACUAUGAACAGGUUUGAAGAACCAAUUUUCCCACAUUAUUUGCUGACUUCAGCAUCGCGCUAAAUAAUACCAGAGUGCACAAUUAUUGAGCAAGCGAUUAUUAUGAAAAGUGCGCAAAUAUCAGAGUAUAUGUACAUCUGAUGAAUAACUUGGCGAAAGGUAAGGUGACCAGCUGAAAAUUCAGCUUCGAUGGCUCAAUCUAUUUGCACCAACUUAUGCUAUCAUUUGCAUUUCAUCAGAAGUCAAUGAAGCAGACAGUAACUAUCUACAGCUCAUCAUGGGUUUUUGCCUUAUCCAGGGUAGAAGCAGGCUGCUGGUGCUCGUGAAGAUAGCGAGCAGCCAUUGCUGCUUGUGCAGCCGCCCCGUAGGGGAGGGCAUCCUCGUUGAUGGUGAAGUAGGGUGAAUGAUGGGGCGCCUGUGGUCCGCGGGUCUCGUUGUACAUUCCCACAAAAUAGUAGUAGGUGGAGGGGAUCGCCUCGGCGUAGAAGGCGAAGUCUUCAGCACCCAUCAGCGGUUGCCUGUCCCUCACAUUCUUGGAGCCAACCAUCUCGCUGGCCACAUUCACGAAGAAAUCAUGGAGCUCAGGGCUGUUGAUGGUUGGGGGAAAGAAAGGGCGGUCCUUGGUGAGGAAGUCCACAGUAGCAGUGCACCGCUGCACAGAUGCUUGAGAGACAAUUACCUGGGACAUGAAAGACAGAGAGAAGCUGAGGAUCUGCUGCAGGACAAUCCACAGUGAAAUUCAAGUAAAUUGUUGAAAAACUCUUGAGGGGAAUAGUGGGUAAUUCACACAGAUAAGAUGACUGUCAGAGUUAUGACCAUUGUGACCGGACACUUCCAUCUGCUGACCUUCCAACACUUACUAGCUAUGAGAAAAUUUGUUUUGCAAGUGCAGUAAAACCAUUACUAAAGUGAAAGCUACAAGGCUGCAGCUGCAAUUUUCAUUAAAGUAGUGUAAAAGGAAAAAAAAAUCUAUUAUGCAUGCUCAAACAACAAACUACACACGGUCCUGUAUCCAUGCAAUUAACCUUAUUCAUGAAAGAAUAAGAGUCAGGAACUGCUCUUGUGUUCAAGCUAAAAGCAGUACAAUUGAGUAAAGAUGGAGAAUAAGGGAAUGCCCCACAUUUUAGAUGCGCACCAGCUUAUUUGUUUAUCUGGUUGUAGUAUAUAUUUAAAUUAGAUAACAUCCCAGUGCCAGAGGAUGAGGUGACACUUACAAGUACCCAUUUUUCUACAGCUAUCAAUAAAAUGUGCAAAUUCAUCUAUUUAAUAAUUACUACUGUAGUUAGUCAUAGUGAUCUUAACAAGAAGUUCAAGCAGUCAUUUAUUUAACGCAAUUUUGAGUCCUUUUUCUUCCAAGAGAACCUGAUCCGCACAAAAUAAUUAAGAAACUGACUAUUCAGUUACAAUAAGUUCCCAAGUAACUAAUGCUGUUACCUCUUCAAUUCGCUGCUUCAAUUGAUUAAAACUCUCUUUCAAAAAGGCCCGGAAGGUGCCACCUAUUGUUACUGAAUCAGGGAUAACAUUGAAGGCCCCACCUCCUUGAAAUUUUCCAAUUGUUACAACCUGCAGAACAAAGCAUGGACCAAAGGAAACAAUUUAUAUACUGGUUUGUAAAUUUGCCAAAGGUUCAACAUAGAGAAAGUGCUAGUCAGUGCACUGGACAAACUGAUGGGGUCCUGGCCUUCUGGGAGUAACAUAUUGAAUAAACAGCCAAAAUUCAGCUUCAAUGGUCCAAUCUAAUUUUACCUAUUUCUGCUAUCAUUUAAUUUGUAUAUGGAACUAAAAAUUCCUCUAUCAAACAACUUAAGAGUGUAAAACUUAAGUUUUGAAUGUUAUAUAGUAAUGGAUGUGGAACAAUUUGUGCUGCCUAGUUCUAAUAAGUACAAGCAAACUUGGGCUGGCCUCCUGGGUUGUUUCCAUACUAAGAGCAGGAUAAAAAGUUCAACACGAUCUUGACCAAUUUCAAAUAAAUCAUCUACACACAUAGCAAAAUCAUUUUGUAAAAAAUUUUCUAUGCUUGUUCUGCAAUUUAGACCAACAGAACAGUACAUCAUGCAACUUCUGCGGAAGGGAGUUAUGUCAAUCAUAUAAAUAGAUAUAGAGAAAGGUUGUCAAGAUCAUGAUUCAUUGCUUGGGAAUUUAUGGCAGGCAACAACAAAUUAAGUCGGUGAAGGGUAAGAUGGUACCUGUGAGUCCAAGGGAUCAGCUUCCCGGGAAACAAGUUGCUGAAGGCUCACAAUAACAUUUGAGGCAGCCAAUAUCGGAUCUAUAGUGUGAUGAGGAAGUGCAGCAUGCCCUCCCUUUCCACUUAUUACAGCCUCAAAGAAUCCACUCCCAGCCAUAAUAGGCCCUGGCCUGGAUGCCAGCACACCAAUAGGAAUAGAGUCAGCUAUGUGAAUCCCAAAAAUGGCAUCAAUAUUUUCCACUGCUCCAGCUUCUAUCAUUUUCUGAGCCCCACCACCACCUUCCUCGGCUGGUUGGAAAACAAGGACUACAGUGCCCUACAGUAAUCAACAUGAUAUUCAUAACCACUGAAAUUUGUUCUAGGUGAUAAAAAUUCAAUGAUUACAAGUCAAUUCAUAUAACUGAUAUGGAGGCAACUGAACUAAGUGAUUCGAUAAGGAGAAUUGCUGAUGGACUAUCAGGAUUAGUUGUGUGCUGUCUAAACAUAAUUACUCGCUUUCCCUAAGAACAGUAAUAUAAGCAAUUGACAAAAAUGCUAAAUCUAUUGCAAAAGGUUGGCUAAAGAAAUGAAGUAUAGACGAAUAAAAAAAGGCAGAAAGAAACAAUGUAUUGCAUUUCACAGAUUUAAACCUGAGAUAAAAAGAAUGAACAACUUCCUUAGACUAAAAGAAGCUACCUCUUACAAAAUAUACACCCAUUUUAAAUUACGCAAAAUAUAAGCAAACUACCAAUAGAUAAUAGUAUAGUACGCUCUGCAGUCUUAGGGAUCAAGGAGUUAAAAACUAGGAUUGGGUAAUAGUUAUCAGACAAAUGAAUUUCACUUCUAUAUUUCUUUCAGAAAGAAAAUGCCAAAAAACAGAGUCUGCAUCCUAAUCAUUUUCCAAAUCUUCAAAAGAAGUGAGAACAUGUAGCUUAAUGCAAUUAAAGUAAGGAAAAGAUCGCUAUAUACAAAGUGUUAAGCAUCUUCCAUAGGUUUUCUGAAGGCUAUUCUCUAAUUAUUUAAUUAACACAUCUAUACAAGUGUUAAGCACUUUUUAUAGGUUUUCUGAAGGGUAUCCUCUCAUAAAUCAAUUAACAAAUCUCCCUAUCAUUGGUGGACAUAAAUUUGGAGGUGGCAGGGAUGGUGCACAGGGAUUAUGUCUACAAUACAUAACAGGUGCUACGUAAACCAUGAAAAUCUAUUAUAUGACCAACACAAAAACAAAGUAUCAAAUAAACAAGAUAUCUGUCUCUGGCUGUCUGCUGAAAUGAAGGAUUGGACAUACAAGUAUACAACUGUUGCUAAACCUCAAUACUUCAACAAUUAAUGGUAUAUCCAUAUUUAAAGAAAAUUCUGAUAUCUCACCCAAAGUUUGAAAAUAUUAAUUAUUUCAGAAAUUUUCAUCGCACAAUGAGAAACUUACAAUUUCGCUUUGCUUUAUAACUAAAGAAAAAUAUUUUAACCAACCUUCAACUCAUCACGAUGCUCCUGAAGGAUCUUGGCAGAUCCCAAGAGCAUAGCAACAUGAGCAUCAUGUCCACAUCCAUGCAUUUUCCCAGGAACUUUGCUCCUGUGUUCCCAUUCCACGCUUUCCUGUAAAAAAAGACAUGAAUUUUAACUUGGACAGAUAUAAACUAGUCGAAUCUAACUUUGGGCAAAUGAAACUUACCGCAAUUAAAUUUAUCAAUAAUAAAUAACUGAAAAUUGAUAAUAUGCAUUAUGCAAGGUUUAAAAUUUGUGGCUUAGUACAUUGAGAAGCAGCUCUCCACAUACCGAACAUUAAUCAAUUGGAUCAUAUGAAUAAUAGACCUAUUGCACCAGAAAAAUAUAUAUAUCAAUACAGUUCAAUAAGCACAUCAUAGUUAUGCAAUCUACAUGAAUCACAUAUUUGUCUCAUACUCUCAUCACUAAUCACCACCUGCAACAUGAUUGAAGGCUCACUUGACUGCACAUAUGCAUAUAGGCAGCCCAUGUGAUUCCUCCCAGUGAGAAGCUAAAGUCUUUUCUCCGUAUGUUCCUAAUUAGGAGGGACAGGUAGCCAGCUAGGGAACUACUUAGGAGUAGGCUGGCACCUGUUCCACCCUUUUCUAACCAGGAUGUCUGCCGUGAACUAUAUGCGAUAUUGACAAUUUCCUAGACCAUUUCGAUAUCACACGUGCUGGCCUAGGUGACCCUUGGUCAUUACUUUGUAUUGCUCUGCAACAAAUUUCAAAGAGCAAACAUGUGCACCCUUUCCACUGCAAAGGUUGCGCAAACCCUGGAAGAUUAGUUGCUUUCUGGUGCACCCCAUAAGUUCUUUGAAAUUAAGGUUUUCCUCUUCUCUUAAAUCAAUCCUCAGAUGCCAAAUUUCGCAAUAGGGCCUCCAAUAUAGCACGCUAUACAGGUAGGCCGUUUUAUACCUAGCACGCUAGCAGAGCCUAUUAAGUACGUUGAUUGCAAAUUAACAGCAUUAAAAAUAUCGAACGAAAUGCAGUUUCCACUAUGCAAGCGGCUCCAAAAACAAACCCUUGUCAAACUAGAUGAGCACUACUGAGGACAAGAUACAAUUUUGAAGCUUGUGAUUGUUGUGAUUGGAACGAAUUCGAUAAAUAGACCAAGGACCUCCCGCCUCUAUCUUUAGCAAAACCAAUAUCUAUUUUCUUCAAUCAGCAGCAAAUUCAGGAAGCAGAGGAACCCAAAUAGCGGGCAAGAGCCAGCGCAACCGAAGAAGAAAUCGAAGGCAGCAACAGACCUGCAUCGGUAGCGCGUCCAUAUCCGCCCGCAGCGCGACGAAGGGCGGGCCGCCGGUGCCGACUGUCGCGACCACCCCGGUGACGGCGAAGGGGUGCUUGUAGGGGAUCCCCAUAGCGUCGAGCUCCCGGCGCACGAGCGCGCUGGUCUCGAACUCCUCGUACCCCAGCUCCGGGUUCUCGUGGAUGCGCCGCCGCACCCCGACCAUCCAGCCCGCGAAAUCCGGCUCCUUGGCCCGCCGCAGGAGCCCCGCGGGGUCCUCCAGCGCCGCCGUCGCCACCGAAGGCCAUCCCGCGGCGGCGAGGACGGCGAGGGCGAGGCCCGCCAGCAGGAGUGGCGGCGCAGCGGUGCCCAUGUUUUUUUGGUUGGUUCGGUUGCGCCUUGCGCGGUUGGUUUGCUGGUGAGUGAUGAACUGAUGAUGCGGAGGUCAGGUGAGGAGUGCGGCGGCUUCGCUUUUGACGAGGCAAACGCACACGACACGAGGGCGGCGGCUGAUUUUGUUUCUUCUCCCAUUUUUUUUCUUCUCCUUCCUUUUCCCUGUUUCGUGCUACUGCAUUUUUCAUCGCUCUGCUGGGGUGUGCGGUCAUUUCUGCUUUCGACCAAUUUUUCCUUUCUGGGCAGUCUUUUGUUCCGAGACGUUUUGGUUGAUUUGAUGCCCAUGGAAUGUGUCAUCUGAACGGAUGGUUCUUGUCGUUCAGCCAUUUGCAGGAAGAGGUCCUUGUUGCAGAGUGCUUGUGCUGUUGGUUGUCACCAAUUUUGCUUUGAGCAGCACAAUUGGAUAUUGGUCCCAAAUGGACAGCACAGGCCCAAGCCCAACCCAGAUCUAAUUCGCCGGUCCACACCAUUUCUGUUGACUUGUUGAGUGCUCCCGUUGUUUGUCAAUCUCUAUCUCUUCCCUAUCUCUAUAUCCAUCUCUUCUCUAGCUCUAUCUCUAUUUUAAAGCAAUGAUAGAGAUAGAAAUAUAUGUUGUACUAAUAUUGCGGACCCGACCUAAGCUCCCUGGGCUAAGCCACAGCCCGGCACUUGGCCUAGGAGCGCAUGGAGCCGAUUUUUGCAUGCCCAAAAACAGGUGUGGCCCAACUAAUCAUUUAACUUUUUUUUUUUGGAAAAGGUCCUCUCGUCGUCCCUCAACUAUUGCCGUAGUCUGGGUUUAGUCCCUCAUGUGCAAAAUCGGGUAUUCGUAGUCCCUCAACUUCCAAAACCAUUUGUUUUUGGUCCCUCACCGUUUUUUCGCAUGAUGUGGUAGUGGCCCCAUAUGCCAUUUGGCUUUCUUCUCCCUCUCCUUCCUCCUUCCUUCAUCAUCUUCCUUCUCCCUGUAUCCCUGCUCCCCAACGCUCGUCGCCGGGUCUUGGCCGCCCGCAGGUUCCAUGUCUACGCUGAUUGCCGGAUUCGGUCUCGAGCCGACCACGCCGCAGUGCGGAGCCUGGCCAUGGCCGCACCAUCCCUUCCGCCCUCAGCGACCGCAGUGCCCCCGACGUCGUCCCAACCUCCUUGUGCCCCUAGGUCACCACCAGGGGCCAGGCUGUGCCGCUCAAGCUAGCUGACCAUCGCCGGGUCAGGGCCGCUCGUGUCUACGUUGGUCGGCGGAUCCAGCCGUGAGCCGGCGAUGCCGCAUGCCAUGCAGCCGUUGGGGUCUAGCCAUGCUUGCGCCAUCCCGACCGCCUCGCACCCUCGACCACCACCGAGGACUGGUGCGUCGGGGCCCACCCGCCUUGUGCUGCUUGAGAAAGGGAAGGAAGAGAGAGGGACUGAGGGAGGAGGAAGAGAGGGGGAAGAAGAAAUUCAUAUAGCAUGUGGAGCCUACCGCCACCUGUUCUUGUGGAGCCCACGCCCAAGUCAUGUAAAACCACCGUCAAAACGAGUGAGGGACAAAAAUAAACAGGUUCAAGAGUUGAGGACUGCGAAUACCUGAUUUUGCGUAUAAGGGACUAAAUCCGAACUACGGUAAUAGUUGAGGGACGUCCGGAGGAUCUUUUCCUUUUUUUUUUUCAACUGAAAUGGUUGGUGGACCGAGCUUGGCCCAAAAAAUUCGAUAGUUCUGGCCGAUAAUUUCUUUUGUCGCCUUCGCCGAUGGCCAGCGCACCGGCAUGCGGCUCUCCUCUCCUCAGCAGCGGUGGCCGGAGAGCCGGACGCCGGUGGUCUCGUGCACGCAGAGGGCGCGGCCUCGGCCCUCGGGGACAUCGUCCCGGUCCUACAACCCCGUCCUGGCCACAUGAACACGCCGAGUCCGCAGCCGUCCGCGCGUGAUGCGGUGGCAAAACCAAGCAGGCUCAAGUCCACAAGCGCAGCAGCCAAGAAGAGAGGAUAGCGACCGUAGGAGCAGCGUGCAUGCCGCCCUCGCGUGCCGCGGCUGGCUCGUCAUGACUGAUAUGUUCGUUUUCUACUUCAUGUAUGAUCUGCUGGUAAUUAUCAUCGCAGCAUAUUUUGGUCAAUGGUUCUUCUUAUUCGCCUUUGCAUGGUUGGAUGAUGGCGUCGUGAGAAAGCUUCACCAGUUCCAUCUCCAUGCAUGUGUUGCUAUGCAUUCUGUUUUUUUUUUUGCUGCCAUGAAAUGUUCUGGUUACAAAACUUCCGUUUGCACAUUCCCGCAAGAAUAUUAACGUGGUGACUGGUGGGCAAUAUCAAAUUUUGCGUAUGACUGAAACGAUUGUUUGCAGCAGCAAUCUGGGGCGGAUCUAGCGGUGGGCGGUUGUGGCUCAAGCUCCUCCUACAGCUCCGGACGCAAUGGAGCCUCUCGAGUUCAGCCCCUCCUACAGAGGAAGAAGCGAUAAAAGAAAGCAAAGAAAGAGAAGGAAAGAAAGGAGACGAGAAAUGGUAAAGAUCCUACAAUUUGCAUGAUGUUUAUGGCUGUAUGUAUUUAACUUGAAUCCGUCAAAAUAAGUUGCCCUGCGUGCUUUUGCAGAUUUUUGGAUUCGAGCUGUCAGAUUUUUAUCGUAAUACAAGGACGACCUCCAAGCUAUAAUCGAAAUAAGUUUUGUUCGUGUGACAUCAUAUUUACUAAAUCACAUAUUCAUGCGGCGUGGCUGACAUAAUGGGGCAUGGCUUCAUCGAUUAAGUAAAAAUUUGUUGGUAUUUUCCUAGUUAUUAAUAAAAUAUCAUAGCCUUGUGCCCACACUAUGGGCAGGGUGAAACGAAAUUAGAGUAUGAAUUCAAACCGCAUAGCCAUCAAAAUUUAAUUAACUGAAGUUCGUGGACAAUUUAUUUCAUGACCACUAGUACAUGGAUACACAUUUCAUAGCAUAGAGAAAAAUCGUACCGUACGGAUGCGGAACAACCAUCAACACCACUGCCGCCGGCCCACUCUUUUUAAGAAGUAUAUAAAUAUAUUAAAAGGAGUAAAUAUUAAAAUAAAAUCUUUUCAAAUUUAUGCAUGUUAAAUUUGGCUUUAAUUUAAUUUCCAGCAAAAGAUUUUCCAUUUGGCUCCAGUUUUCUCGAACUACCGUCGCUCGGCUCGGACUCCGACUCCGCCCGUCGGUGGUCCAGCUCCUGGCCACCCACGCCGACAUCAGCGGCCGCGGCGACUGCGGCCGCUUCCUCGUCACGGAGUGCGCCGGGCCGAUGAACCUGCGCCAGCACAUGGAGCUCCGGCGCCGCGAUGGCCUGCCGUUCGAGGAGGGCGAGGUGCGCGACGCCAUGCGCCAGCUCCUCGCCAGCGUGGAGAGCGCGCAUGGCGCGGGCGUGCUCCACACGGAGAUCGUCCCGGAGAACGUAGCCGUCGGCCAGGAGGACGUGGUCUCCGACGGAGCGGUCGUCGGGAGGAGGAUGGUCUACAAGAUCUGCGGCUUCGGCAUGUCGGAGCCGGCGGCGCUGGCGGCGGCGGAGAAGGACGACUCCGGGCUGCUGGCGUCGCCGAGCCCGUACCGCGCGCCGGAGCCCUUCCUGGGCUCCAAGGACUACGACGGGCGGGUCAACACGUGGGGGCUCGACUGCAUCAUGGCGGAGCUCCUCGCCGGCACCGGCGUGCCGUUCUUCGGCUGCAAGCUGGACACCGGGGUCCUCGAGAAGAUGCUGUACGUGGUCGGCGCCAGGGGCAUCGUCAAGUGGCCGGGGCUGGACCGGGUGACGGCGCACGACCAGGCGGCGCGGCUGCGGAAGCUCUACCGCCGAGACCGCGGCCACCUGCGGCAGGUGUUUCCGAGGGAGGUGCUCUCUCUGGCAGGCUACAAGGUCUUGAAAGGGCUGCUGCGGAGUCACCCUGAUCGCAGGCUGACGGCCGCGGGCGCCCUCCGCAUGCCAUGGUUCCGGCGCCGUGGCUUGGGUGGCUACUUUGGUGGAGCGGUCUUGUCAGCCAACUAGCCAUGAUCUGAGUGUUCUCAGGGUGGUUGAUUUUUUCCCCAAGAUUUGUGUAGCGAGUAGAUAGACUUAAGGCUAUCCGUACUCGUCAUACUCUAUUUCCAUACUUUACAAAGAACUAGCAAAAUGCCCGUGCGUUGCUACGGUGAAAUGAUAAUCAUAUUUUUAAAACUCGUGGGUUUUUUUCCUAUUUCUAUCACUAUAUAUUUAUUGCAUUUCUGUUAAUAUAUAUCCUUAUACUAAAAUAAUUAUUCAUUUCUCAAACACAAUAAACCAAAAUAUUUAUUGUUUGAUGCUUUCUUGCUAUGCGUGUUUGGUUAAUUAUUUGUUUACGAGGAGAUAUGUGUCUAGCUGUUGUUCACAAGAAAUAGUGUCCAAGUAUUUUAAAUGAAGCUUAAAGUUUGAAAGGUGGGCUAUUUAGAUUGUCAGAAGUGCAUUGGAAAUUUCUGAAACUAAAACUGGAAUGUUCAGUUCCUGGUUGCCCGUGCGUUGCUACGGGUCAUUACUUGCUCUCACGUUAUUAUACGUUUGUUUAUAAUAUGUUAGCUUCGCUUCACAAUAUGUGGUAGACAAUUCAUCAAAGAUGAGUGGCAAAAAAGACCAUUACUCCAUCACCAUUAUGAAGGAAACAACAAUUACCACCCAAAUAUGAAACGUAUAGGAAGAUAUCAGCAAAUACUACAUAUCAAACAACAGUGACAUCAUCAGGAAUACUGAAUGCCUUAACAGAUAUCGGUUGUACCUAUUUGGUGAGGACCUCUGAAUACACUAACAGAUAUCGGUUGUACCUAUUUGGUGAGGACCUCUGAAUACACUAUAUUCUUUGUGUAUCUAUCGGUUGUGUCUUUUUGAUUCACCUUUUUCUUAUUUGAAACUGGAAUGUUCAGUUCCUGACCGAAAGUCAGAGCUCUCAAUCUUCCAAACCAAAGAUCUUUUGAGCAAAGUUCCUAUCUAGAACUUGCAGCCCUAUAGUACCUCUACAAGUUUGGUUAAAGGUGCUUGGAGAGUUUGUUAUUGGAUUUGGAUGAUCUGUGCUCGAGAAAAGGUAGCCUUUCGGUGCUUUGGAGAUAAUUGACAGGAGCAAAUUCUAAAGGUUCAGUGUAACCGGUGUUUUUCCCAAAGUUCAGAGACUUUUAUCUUUCGAUCCUAUGGAACCAAAGCCCUAUCUAACACAUGUAGCUCGUUGAUCCAGAUACAUCUUUGUAUAAAGACGAUUUGCAAGUUUAUGUUUGGAUUUGGACAAGAAUCGUUGGGGAAGGGACUGCUUUUCUGUAUUUCUGGAGCAGCUACAAGCAGCAAUAGCAGCUCGCAGCACUGCCACCACUACUUAAGCCUCCGCGGUGAAAAUCCUCACGUGCCACAUGCCGGCAAUGCCGCCGAGGCUGCAUGCAGGGCAGCGGCAGAGUGUCCUGCUCCGGCUGCCACCUGCGCCCAAUCCUCCUCCUUCGCCUCUCAAUUUUGAAGAAAGGAGAAGCUUUUUGCCCUUUAGCGCCCUCCCUUCCCUCCUUUUUCCACCUGAGCCCCCCUCUCUUCAGAAUUUGGAUUGCGGGUUGAUUCCAUAAAAAUUGAGGAACUUUUUUGCAAAAUGACCAUGACGUAUGAAAAAAAAACUGGGCAGAAACCUUACUUGCUUUAUGGAAAAAACAUGUUAGUAUGACAUAUUUUCACUUAUAUAUAUCAAAAUGCCCGAGCGUUCCUACGGUGAAAUGAUAAUCGUAUUUUUAAAACUCAUAUUUUUUUCUAUUUGUAUCACUAUAUAUUUAUUGCAUUUCUGUUAACAUAUAUCCUUAUAUUGAAAUAAUUAUUCAUUGAUGGCCAUCAGCCGUGGCUUCUUCUCAGGGUCGGACCCGUCGUACUGCUUCAACUCCUCUUGAGUCUUAAUUGUUUGCCUUACCGUUUUUGGCCCAAUAUCUCCCCCGACAUGGCAGCUUAACUUCGCACCUGGCUCGUAGCCAUCCAUCUGGAUUGGGCGGUCGAGACACUCAUGAUGCAAAACACAACUCGGACACUCGUGAUGCAAAACACAACUCGGUUCCAGCAUCUCAUGUGAAAUCCUAAGGUGACGUUUGGACGGUGGAUGUGAUAUGAAAAUGGAUAUAAGAUGGGAUACGGAGAAGUAGAUUAUGGAUUGGGAAAUAAAACUCCAAUCCGAAUCCAUGGUUUGGCUGUGCUUAGGAAAUGGUUUGGAUUUAAAGCGGAACCCACGUGCAAUAGAAAAAGAAAGGAAGAGGACUUGGCCGUUUUCUCUUUUUGAUGCAACGGCACCGUCAUAAUCCAAACUGCGAGGCACCCUUAUCUCUGGUUCUCUCUUCUCUUCGUCCACGCUGGACCUUACCCCGUAUUCGUGUUUAGGUUCUUUAAUUUGGGUCUAGAUUUUCUACGGGACCCACAAACUAAUUAAAAAAAGGACGGUCCUUAUCUUUUGGUGCCUUGUUCGUUCACAACCACAUGGUGCUACUCGAGCUCCGAGGCGAGCAGCACACUCUGCCAUAGCACGACAAGACCGAGGCCUUGUUUACUUUCCAAUUUGGGAGUGGGAAAAUUGGCAUUUUGCCAUAAAUGCGCAACUGUAGCGUUUCAUUUGUAUUUGUGAAUUAUUGUCCAAAUAUUGACUAAUUAGGCUUAAAAGAUUCGUCUCGCAAAGUACAACAAAACUGUGCAAUUAGUUUUUGAUUUCGUCUACAUUUAGUACUCCAUGCAUGUACCGCAAGUUUGAUGUGAUGGGGAAUCUUCUUUUUGCAUAGUGUCAAAAUUGGGAGUUUGGAAGGAAGUAAACAAGGGCCGAGGCUUCAGCUGCGUGCGAUUCGAGUGGCGGCGGCGACCACUACGCGCGGCACCUGCGGUGGCGAGCACCAUGCGUAGCAUCUACCGUGGCUGCGCUCCCGCUCGUGUGGCUGCGGUGGCGGUGGCUUCGCUUCCCUCCGCAUAACUCCGAGCGCAAGCCAUGCGGCGAGCUCCGACGUCCACAGCAUGCUCCGGUCCCGACACUUCAAGCUGCUGCGGUUCCUCUCGCUUGUGCGCGCGUGUGGACAACGCACGGGCAUCAGUAUUAUGGGGAGCUCCAGGCGGCGGCUGCGGCGGGGGAGAUCCGGGCGGCCGCGGAUGGGAAGCUCCAGUUGGCGAGCUCUGGGUGGCGGCUUCAGCGGGGGAGAUCCGAGCGGCUGCGGAUGGGGAGCUCCAAGCGGGCGCGUGGCGCCGCCUCGGCAACGGGCGGGCGGCGCGGCCGUGGUGGGGCUCCCCGCUCCGGCCGCUGCCCGCGCCCCGUCCCCCUCCUUCGCCUCCUUGUUUUGGAUUGGAGAAAGGAGAAGUUUUUUCCCUUUAAACGCCCUCUCUUUCCUCCUUUUUCAAUCCGACACCCAGACUAUUCAUAAUAAUGGACUGCGGGUUGAUUACACAAAACAUCAGGGUUUUUUUUGCAAAAUGACCACGAUGUACGAAAAUCCAGGCAGAGGCGUUACUUGCUUUAAUAAUAGGUAAAGAUAUUCUAUCCUAGUCAUCAAGAUUCUCUCCUCUAUAUCAAUUUCUCCAGCACCCGUGUUACUCUAUAUCUUAUACUCUAUACCAACUACCACAUAUUUUAUUCCCCUCCCUCCCUCUUUCCUUCUACCCAGCCGUUCCCCUCCCCCUCCCGAUGCCUCCUGGGCCUCCUCCCUGCCGGCUCCUUCCUCUUCCCUGCCGUCCCCCUCCUCCUCCCCGACGGUGGCGGUGACGGAUCCAGCGGUGGCGGCGGAUCCGAGCAGAGGCGCGCGGGGGGGGGGGGGGGAAGGGGGGGGGGAGGGAGGGGGGGGGGGGGGGGGGGAACAAGAGGACUUGGGGUUGGGGGGGGGGGGGGGANNNNNNNNNNNNNNNNNNNNNNNNNNNNNNNNNNNNNNNNNNNNNNNNNNNNNNNNNNNNNNNNNNNNNNNNNNNNNNNNNNNNNNNNNNNNNNNNNNNNUAACAAAGCCCAUUUCCCCACAUUUAGCCCAACACUGGACUAGUCAACACGGAAGCACCCCAACGGGGGUUGCAACCCAUCCCAUGGGGCCGGAACCAGGACCUAAGUCAUCAAGAGCUUAGUCCUUUUCCAAGGGCUCCCCGUUGCUCACCAGCACACCUAAAGCCCAGCAGUUUAGCUAGUGGGGUCUAUGGUAACCCGUUGCCCACACAACGGUGGAGUGGUUGCACGAUGAUGGAAUUAGACAGGGAUGACACAUCAACUCGGUCCUUAGCCAUGACAAGAUGGAUAUCUCCCACUGUGGUCAACCAGUCAGGUACGGGGCGUUGGGGCUGGCGGUGUCGGGAGGUGGGUAGCGGGCGCCCUGGGCGCCCGCCAGGAGUAGCGGACCAUUGGCCCUCCGCUUGGGUAGCGGACGCCUCCCGGUACCACAGUGCGGGGUUUUUUCCACUACCGCGUACUGAGGAUCGUUUACAGGGUGCCGGUGCGGACAACCUAAUGCUGUGAAAGGGUUAUAAUGAUGUAUGUUAUUCGUCCUGCUUGUAAUGUGACGUUCUUCAUCUUCUCACAAAUACUACAAGUUAAUUUAGGUUUUCAAUUCCCUAAUUCAAAUCUUAUAAACUUUGAUUAGAGAUUUCUAUAAAAAAUAUUCUUGAUAAAAGAGUUGCUGUUAUGAAUUCAUUUCAGAAAAAAAGUUGCUGUUAUGAAAAUAACUUUAUAAUCUGUGCCACUCAGGACUUUAGGGCAGCGUUCUUUUUUUGUUGUGGAUCCCUGGGAAGUGAUUUUGCACUGCAGCCUCCAAACGGUAGCCAGUUCAUCGAACUCUGAUAGUUAAAUUUGACCGCAGCAAUGGAGCUGCCCUUACUCAAAAUAGCCCACCAAUGCCAUCACCUAUCCUUACACAAAAAGCAAAGGACAUUAUCGAGGAUUAACAGCUAAAAGCAGCAAUCUAGCCCCACGCGAUGCAGGGAUACAAACAGGCCCAAGCUUUUACCAAUCCAUAUUUUAUAAGGCACAUACUACAUACCAUAUUUUUGAUAAUAUCUAACUAAUCCAAACAUGACCUUAAGUCUGACACAUACUCUCCCCAUAAAAAAAAUCAAGAGCAAAUAAUGAGGUAAAAUAACUUUAUUUGCCUCUAUUUAUUAACUAUAUUAUUUGGUAGUAACUGAUACCGUAUGCACAUGCACAUACCAAAUGUGACAGAAUGACUUGUUUUUGAUAGAUUUUGAAUCUUAGAAUGAUUAUUUUUUUGGACGGAGAACGUAUAGUAUUAUGGAGCACCAAGUGAUAAAUCUUGUUUCAUGCGAAAAAUGCAAGAACCAAGACCUAAGCCUCGUAAAAAUAAUCAUUUAGCGAACAAACACAUUUAAAACAACGGAUUGACCAUGUACGUUGACCGUAUAGCGCAGUGGAUAUCGCAUUUCACUACGAAUCAGAAGGUCGCGUGUUCAACGCCCACUGUGCCGAAAAUCGUAUGCUAAUGCUACUGAAGAAUUGAACAGAUGAUGAGCUGGCAAACUAGUUCCUGACCAUGAAAAGGCGACGUUUGCAUGUGCAUAAACUUAACAAGAUGAAGAACCAAAACUAAAUUACUCGGUAGUUCUCACCCAAAUAGUAAAAAACUGUCAAUUCAUCAUCUGCACAAGAUUAUAUUUACUCAUAAAUAUGACCGUAGCAUCGCACUAUUCCCGCAUGCCGCAAGAGAUAAUUAUCAAACUGCGCAAAUUUCAGAAUGUAUAUACAGCUGCUGAAUGACUUGGCGAAAGCUAAGGCUCACCAGCAAAAAUUUCAACUUCACGGUUCAAUCUAAGGGUGCAUUUUGCCGAGCUUCCAGAGCUGAUUCUCUGCUGAAUCUAGCAGGAGCUCUGCCAAACAGUUUUUUCAGGAAGAAAUGAUUCUCUGCUGAUUCUGUGAAGUGAUUCUCUGGAAUGAACUAAGAGACUUGGACUGAAAAAAGUAGCUUCUCCCGUGAAGUGAUUCUCCAUCGUUUAUGCUAGAGAAUCAAAGAGAAUCACUUUCAACUAUAAAAUCACUUCUCUUGAAGCUCCCAUAAAAAAUCAGAAUCAAAUGGAAUUUAAUCAGAAUUCAACAAAGCAGGCAGCAUCUAUUACAGCUUGUCACGGGCUUUCGCCCAGUAUAUAUCUACAGCUCGUCAUUGGGCUUUCACCUUAUCCGGGGUAGCAGCAGGGUGCUCAUGCUCGAGCAGAUAGCGAGCAGCCAACGCUGCUUGCGCAGCCGCGCCGUAGGGGAGGGCAUCCUCGUUGACAGUGAAGUAGGGGGAGUGAUGAGGCGCCUUCGGUCCACGGGUCUCGUUGUAUAUGCCCACGAAGUAGUAGCAGGUGGACGGUAUCACCUCAGCAUAGAAGGCGAAGUCCUCGGCGCCAUCAGUGGCUGCAUGUCUCUCACGUUCUUGGAGCCAACCAUUUCGCUGGCCACACUGACGAAGAAAUCGUGAAGCUCAGGGCUGUUGCUGGUUGAGGGGAAGACAGGGUCCUUGUUCAGGAAGUCCACGGUAGCACUGCAUCGCUGCACGGAUGCUUGAGACACGAUCACCUGGGACAUGAAAAACAGAGAAUAGCUGAGGAUCCUCUGCAGGACAAUCUACAGUGAAAUUUUCUUGAAGUAAAAUGUUGAAGAAAGAGGGGAGUAGAUGAGAACUCAGCACAGAUGAAUGUCAUUUCUGACCAUUGUGACCCAAUCACUUCCGUCUACUAACCUACCAACCUGUAAAAACAAUGAAAACCUGUUUUCCAAGUGCAGUAAAACUAUUUCUAAGGUGAAAGCUACAAAUCUAUAGCUGUAAUUUUCGCUUCAAUUAAAAUGUGAAAGAAAAACUUCUAAUCUGAGUACUCAAACAACAAAUUACAAGUGAGUCUGUAUCCAUGCAGCAUGUGUUCCAGUAUUGGCAGCACAUGUUCCUUAUCCAUAAACGAAAGUUUCUACGUGAGAGAAUAAGUGUCAGGAACUCCUCAAAUCGCCAGCAGUGUACAAUCUAACAAAGAUGGAGAAUAAGGGAAAACACCAAAUUUUAGAUGCGCACCAGCUUCUUUCUUCACCAUAUCCUUGGUUGCAGUAUAUACUUAAAUUAGGUGUCAGCCUAGAGCAUGAGGUGCCACUUACAAGUACCCACAUCUUAAAGCUAUCGAUAAAUGUGCAAAUUGAUCGUAUUUGAUAAUUAAAUAUUCUAGUUAGGUAUAGUGACUAGUCAUCUCAACAGCAAGUUCAAGUAGAUAUCUAUUUAAGGCAACCUUUUAGUCCUGUUUAUUUCUAAGAGAGCCUAAUUCCCAGAAAAUAAUUAAAAGAAACUACUUAAAUAGUAAGACAUAGUAUCCAAGCCAAAAUGCCAUUACCUCUUCAAUUCGAUGCUUCAGUUGAAUAAUACUCUCUUUCGAAAAGGCUCGGAAGGUGCCACCUAUUGUUACUGAAUCUGGGAUCACAUUGAAGGCCCCACCUCCUUGAAAAUUUCUAACAGUUACAACCUGCAAAAUAAAGCAUGGACCAAACCAGAAGGAAACACUUAUGUGCUGAAAUGUAAACAAGAAUAAAUUCCCAAAGUUUAAUAUAGCAGCAGUACUUCAGUAAGUACACUGAACAAACUGAUGGGAUCCUGGGAGUAGCAAUCAAAUAAACAAUUUGUAUAAUUCUUGUGGUGCAAAAUCAAUUUUUGUAUUUGGUACUACAAAUACCUAUAUUGAGCAAUUAAUGAGUGUAAAACUUAAGUUUUGGAAAUUGUAUAAUAAUGGAUACAGAAGAAUAUGUGCUGCCUAGUUAUAACACGUCCAGGCAAAUUAGGGCUGGCCUGUUGGGUAGUCUUCUAGGUUACAUGUUAGUAGCAGGAUAAAAAGUUCAACAAGAUCUUGACAAAUUUCAAAUAGAUCUCCCAACACACCUCAAAUCAUUCCAUAAAAUUUGUUCUAUUCUUGUUCUGUAGUUUAGACCAACAAAGCAGUACAUCACGAAACUUGUAUGGAAGGGAGAUAUGUAAAUCAUAUAAAUUGAAAUAGAAAGAGUCAACCAAGAACAUGCUUCCUUGCUUGGAAAUUUAUGGCAUACAACAACAAAUUAAGUCGGCCAAAGCUGGGACAGUACCUGUGAGUCCAAAGGAUCAGCUUCCCGUGAAACAAGUUGCUGAAGGCUCACAAAAACAUUUGAGGCAGCCAAUAUUGGAUCUAUAGUGUGAUGAGGAAGUGCAGCAUGGCCUCCCUUUCCACUUAUUACAGCCUCAAAGACUCCACCCCCAGCCAUAUAUAAUAGGCCCUGGUCUAGAUUCCAGCACACCAAUAGGAAAAGAGUUAGCUACGUGAAGCCCGAAAAUGGCAUCUACGUUUUCCACAGCUCCAGCUUCUAUCAUUUUCUGGGCCCCACCACCACCACUUUCCUCAGCUGGUUGGAAAACCAGGACUACUGUACCCUACAGUAAUCAACAAGAUAUUCAUAACCAUAUAAAAUUCGUAGGUGACUAAAAUUCAAAGAUUAAAAAGAUAAUUCAUAACUGACAUGGAAGCAAGUGAAUUAAGAGACUUAACCAGUAGAAUUGUCGAUGUGGACUACCAGGUUUAGUCGUGUGCUGUCCAAGCAUAAUAAUUACUUAAAAUCAAUUUUUGACAGACUAAACAGUCGUACUCACUUUCCCUACAAACAGAAACAUAAGCAAUUGACACAAGUUCUAAAUCUAUUGCCGAGAUUAAAAAUAUUGAAUAUACUGAUAAAAAAGCAGAGGGAGGUAAUAUAAUGCAUUUCAUAGGUCUACCCCUGAGGGGGAAAAGAAUGACUUUCUUGGACAAAAGAAGCUACCUCUUACAAAAUAUAGCGUCCAUUUUUAAGUUGUUCAAAAUAAAAUAUAAGAAAAACUACAAGUAGAUAACAGUAGGGAAUGAUCACAAUAUACAAGUGCUAACAUCUUCUAUAGGUUUUGAAAGCUAUUCUCCCAUUAAUUACACAAAUCUCCCGUAUCAUUGCUUGGACAUACAUAACAGGCACUAGGUGAACAACUGAACAACAGAAUUAAUGUGAGGAACCUCCAAGUUACACCCAUUUAAUCAAGUCAUCAACCAUUGAUCAACUUAACUAAAUAAGAAUAACUCCGGUCGUCCUUGAGAUGUGAGCAUUGCCUAGGAUUUAUACACACCUCACAAGCACAACAAGAUGAACACCAUCACAACAUAAGCAUUACACACAUAGUCCAUCACCUUACAUAAAAGAGUUCAAGUCACGUACAUAACAAGUUCAUAGAGUUUGCAACGGAAAGUUCUAUCAUCGCUCUCAACAUAUGAUACAACACAAAAUAAGAGGGUUAACACUAUAUGCUGAUAGUGCCUUCUCAUAGCCAUGUCCAUCACUUCCUACCCACACAUCCAUCCGUGGGGAAGAAGUACCCAAAGGCGGCCUCCAGCUGCGGAUCACCUGCAACAACUUAAUGGCGGCACCGUGAGUACAAAAGGUACUCCGCAGGUCUUAUCUAAGUAUGGGUAUAUACUUGCCCGACUCUCAAGGAGAAUGCAUUUGGUUAAGUAGCAAGGAAUGAGAGGGAGAGAGAGCUGCAAGGAGCUCUGGUUAGGCUUGAGACGUGGGCUGACGUUUGGGGUCCGUGGGGGAGACGUGGCGCAAAAGUUUUGCGCACGCGACACACACCACAGUGUGCUGGCGGACCAUCCGCGGUUGACGUGGCAAAGGAGUUGAGUGAGUCAUGCUUGACCGAGGUCAACAUGAUGACAUGUAUGGCAGACCGUCCGGCCCCCAUGGGCGGACUAUCCGCAGGUACCCAAAGAAAGCAUCAACUUUUAUUUAUUUGCAACUUAAUUUAAUGCUUAAUGAUGCUCAUGAUGACAUGCUUAACUUAAACAAGAUUAAGGCCUUUUACAAUUAAUCUAAUACCACCAAAAAUAUGCACCAAAACUAUGUCCCCUGGAAGGAAGGAUUGCACAUCCAACUGUUGCUAACCCAUUUACGAUUUAUUCAUAUUUAAAUUCAAAUUCAGAUAUCUCACUCAAAGUUUGAAUAGAGAACAUCAAAUAUUUCAGAACUUUUAAUUAUACAAUAAGAAAUUCUCAUUGCUUUAUAACUAAAUAAAAAAUAUUUCAACCAACCUUCAACUCAUCAUGAUGCUCCUGAAGAACCUUGGCACAUCCCAACAGCAUAGCAACAUUUGCAUCAUGUCCACAUCCAUGCAUCUUCUCAGGAACUUUGCUCUUGUGCUCCCAUUCCACGCUUUCCUGUAAAACAAGACAUCAAUUUUAACUAAUGGUCAAAUACAGAAUAAUUGCACUUCAGAAUCCAGAUUGGGCUACCGGAGUUUGCCACGAUUAAAUUGCUUGACAGGUUGCACAAACACUAGAAAUCUAAUUGCUUUCCGGUGUACAGCACAAGUACUUUUAAUCUAUGGUUUCCCUGAACUCAAUCCUCAAUAGUCAAAUUUUGCAAUGACCACCGGAAUACAAGUAUAUUUAAAAGAACUCAGAGGUGCGGAAGAACUUUGGUGGAACGGCGCACCUUUUCCAUGCAUCAGCUGCGUGUUUAUAUAGGUGAGGAAAAUCCCCUCGCAUGGAGUUACAAUCGGAUCACAAGUUGGUUGGGAUGGGCACUUCCUUGGAGUCCAAGCUAAAUACAUAAUCUAUCUAUUGUUACAACAAACAAACCUUUACAGAUAAGCCGAUCCCAAUCUCAACUGAUCACCUUAAACAAUACAAUGUCGAUAUCUCUUAUAUACUUCUAAUAGCCCCUCUCAAUCAUAACUGAGCUAGGUUAAGAUUGUGCUUGAAGUUCUCCAAUUUCUUAACAGAAAGAGCUUUUGUAAAACCAUCUGCCACUUGAUCUCAUGUCGGCACAUAAUCAAUCUCGAAUAACCUUUGAUUCCUUAUCUUACAAAAUGAUAUUCUACUUCAAUAUGCUUUGUUCUAGCAUGAAAAACAGGAUUAGCAGAAAGAUACUUAGCUCCAAUGUUAUCACACCAUAUCCUUGCAGCCACUGGACAGGAACUCCUAUCUCCUUAAGUAAGGUUUGUAUUCACAUAAUCUCAACAGUGGCAUUUGCUACAGCCUUGUAUUCCGCUUCUUCUGUGCUCGAUCUAGACAUUGUCUAUUGUUUGCGAGCACUUCAAGAAACUAAAUUACAACAAAAAAAAAUCGCAAAGCCUUCAGUAGACCUUCUGUCAUCUAGACAACCUACCCAAUCUGCAUCAGAAAAACCGCUGACAAGCAUGGACUUAGACGUAUGAAUCUUCAGCCCAAUUUUCGUACACUGCUUGAGGUAUCUCAAAAUACGCUUGACAGUUGCCCAAUGCAUGGUUGUAGGAGCAUGCAAAUAUUGACACACUUUAUUUACAGGAAAUGCAAUAUCUGGUCUAGUGAGCGUCAAGUAUUGCAAAGCCUCUACUAUACUUCUAUAUCUUUUAAGCAAAUCAUACGCAUAUUUGUCUUGAGUAAGAAUAAUUCCAUCACAAACCUUGCUGACUUCUAUGCCCAAGAAAUAAUGAAGCUCUCCCAAAUCCUUCAAUGCAAAUUCUUGCUCAAGACUGUGUAGGAGCUUCUCAGUUACACCUUGAACAGAACUUGCUACUAUGAUGUCAUCAACAUAAAUUAGCAAAAAUAUUGUCACAUUGUUAGUGUUAAAAUAAAAUAAUGAUGUGUCUGCCUUUGAGGACUUAAACCCAAGACUGUAUAGCUUCGCACUUAGUCGAGAAUACCAUGCCCUUGGAGCUUGUUUCAACCCAUAAAGAGCCUUGUCCAACUUACACACAUAAUUAAGCAUGGUCUUGUCUUCAUAACCUGGAGGUUGUCUCAUGUAGACUUCUUCCUCUAGUAUUCCAUGAAGAAAGGCAUUUUGUACAUUGAGCUGUCGUAGACUCUACCCUUGUGAAAUAGCAAUAGAUAAAACAGUUCUGAUGGUUGCAGCCUUAACAACAGGACUAAAGGUAUCAGGACUAAAGGUAUCUUCAUAAUCUACCCCAUAUCUCUGCUUAAAGCCUUUAGCCACUAAGCGAGCCUUGUAUUUGUCUAAGCUAUCGUCAACCUUACGCUUAAUUUUAUACACCCAUUUACAAUCAAUGAUAUUGCUGCCUUUCUAUGGUGGAACUAAAUGCCAAGUCUUAUUUCGAAGUAAAGCAUCAUAUUAUAUGUCCAUUGCAUGUUUCUAGUUUGCAUCUCCUAAAGCCUCUGAAGUAUUUUGUGGCUCACCAAUAGAAGUAAAGAAUCCAUACCGAACUGUACCAUCAGUAUACACCUUGGGUUUGCAUAUCCUAUCUCGAAGGUGAGUAUGUGGUCGUCGAUGUGGUUCUGCUGGUUCAGACGGAGCUGCCGCAGAAGAUCCAAUUUUGGCUCCCCUAGGAUUCGAGGCAGAUCCGACAGGUGGAGCUAUAGCAGGAUCCGUCGCCGAUGCACGUGCUGUCGGGAGGUCACCCGACCGCAUGUCGGGUGAAGGUGGUGUGGCAGCGCUGGAGAGGCCACGCUCAGGCGAGGCAAGAGGGUGCCCUCACCACGCGUCGUACAAAGAUGGGAGGUGCGCGCCCAUCGGUGAUGGAGGAGUGCGGCCUGCCGCAUUGGGAUCCGCCUGGCGCAGCCCAUGAUCCGAGGUAGAUCCCAUUCGCUGCUACAUGGCACGGAGCGAAUCUCCCCCGGCACCUGAGCCUAGAAGGGUGCUGUUAUUUGAUGUACCACUGGUAGUAUGGAUCUGGUCAUUGCCGGAGUACUUCUCCCUCAUCGCCAACUUCUCCAAAUCUCCCGUGAUGUGGUCAUUAGCACCGGUAUCCAUGUAGGUAGCAGCCGCAACAUUCUUCAGGUCUGGCACAUAGUUUUCAUCAAACCUAUGCUAGUAUCUAUCAGUUGUGUGUCCCCUCUUGAGACACACCUGACAUAGUGAGCAUUCGGUGGAGUUGUUGUUGAAGCGCUGGUUGGAGUUGUUGCUGUUGUUGGGUGGACGCGAGUUGGUGUUGUUCAUGGUGCCUCCUCCCUAGCCACGACCAAAGCCUCCAUGGCCAUGGUUGUUGGAGCCGCCACCACCACGUCCUCGGUUGCCCUUCCCUCCACGGUUUGCCAUGUUGGCAGAUGAACUAGAGGAAGAGUGGCCACUCUGGAGCUCCAUCCUGGUUUCAAAAGCAAGAAGCUACAAAUACACUUCGCUUACCGAGGGCGCAUCUGAUCUUGCAACAAGAGUAGACACAAUGGGGUUGAAGUCGUGAUCAAGCCUAGUGAGGAUGUGCUCGAUGAGUUCCUCUUUUUCCACCGGUCUUCUAGCGGCGGCCAUCUCGUCGCCUAGGGCCUUCAUCUUCCUGACGUACUCCGCGAUCGUCAUGGAUCCCUCCUAGGUGGUCGCAAGAGCUAGGCGCGUGUUCACCGCGCGAGCCUGGGUGCGCGACGAGAACAUGUCUUCAAUCAUCUUCCAGGCUUGAGCUGCUGUCUCCAUCGCAGCUAUCUGUCCCAGCACAUCCUUGCACACGGAGGUGAGUAGAAAACCAAGGACUUGCUGGUCCGAGGUAUACCACUCAUCCCAUGCCGGAUUUGGGAUCUUGACAUCUUUGCCGACGGCAUCCUUCCCACCAGUUUCAGCAGGAGGUGCAGCUUUGGCACCGGUGAGGUACCCUUGGAGACAUUCUCCACGGAGGGUCACAAGGACCUGGGCCCUCCAUGUGGCAUAGUUGAGCCUGGCGAGCUUCUCUGUCACGCUCUGGCCAGACAAGGGAUUCAUUGCAGCUCUGGAGGAUGAAGCCAUGGCUUGAGGUGGAUUGGAUCUAAGGAAAGCUGGCUCUGGUUACUAUAAAAGAACUUAGAGGUGCGGAAGAACUUUGGUGGAACGGCGCACCUUUUCCGUGCGUCAGCUGCGUGUUUAUAUAGGAAAAUCCCCUCGCAUGGAGUUACAAUCAGAUCACAAGUUGGUUGGGAUCAGCACUACCUUGGAGUCCAAGCUAAAUACAGAAUCUAUUUAUUGUUACAGCAAACAAACCUUUACAAAUAAACCUCUACAGAUAAGCUGAUCCCAAUCUCAACUAAUCACCUUAAACAAUACAGUGUCAAUAUCUCUUAGAUACUUCUAAUAGUAUUCGGGUUGAUUUAUAACAAGAGCAUAUUGAGUUUGAAUGCCUAGCAAAUUUACACCGUUAGCGUAUUGAAAGGCGCAGUUUUAGCUAUCGAUAACUAGACCUAGGAAGCCUCCUAUCAUUAGCAAAACCCAGAAAUUAUUUCCUCAAUUCGCAACAAAAUCAAGAAGCAGAGGAACCCAACACAGUAGGGGGAGAGUAGCCAAGGGCCAGCCAGCGCAAUGGACCUGCAUGGGUAGUGCGUCCAUGUCUGCCCGAAGCACAACGAAGGGUGGGCCCCCGGUGCCGAUCGUCGCGACCAACCCGGUGAUGGCGAUGGGGUGUUGAGCUCCCGGCGCACGAGCUCGCUAGUCUUGAACUCCUCGUAGCCCAGCUCAGGGUUCUCGUGAAUCCGCCGCCGCACCCCGACCAUUCAGUCCAGGAAUGCCGGCUCCUUUGCCCGCCGCAGGAGCUCCGCAGGGUCCUCCAGCGAUGCCGCCGCCGAAGCCCAGACCGCUGUGGAGGCGACGGCGAGGGUGGCAAGCAGGAGAGGCACCACUGUGGAGGCUACUGUGCUACUUGCUGGUUCGUUUUAGUUGAUGACUGAUGAGGCAGCUUCGCUUUUGAUGAGGGCAGCAGUUGAUUUCCUUUUUCUUUUUCCUCCCAACUUUUUUCCUUCCUAGUCACUAAAAAAACCUUUUUCCGUCCCAUUUCCAGCCCUGUGCAGCUUCCUUCCUAUUUCUAGCCCCGUGUAGCUUGUGACUCUGCUGACUGCUUGGCUAAAAAUCAGGUAUGUUUAGCUUCAUUCGGGGUGAUGAGAUUUUUUUUAUUUUUAACCCCAAUUUUAUUUGCACGGUGUGAUCCUUUUGAUCGUGCCGUGCGCCGUGGUGCAGCAGUUAGCCGCUGCCGCGCCACGUGCACUUGCACUAGGUUUAGGAUUUCAUUUUGAAUUUUUCAUGAUUUAUAAGUUUGUUAUGUAGUAAUGGAUGCUUAGUUUAUACGCAGUCGACUCUUUGCCCAUGGUUUUAACGUGUAGAAGUAGUUGCAUGCAUCGAUUUAUAUAGUUGUUGAUGUAUUUGUGUGGUGUACAUGGCAUGUGUAGGUUUAUUUGUUUAUUAUGUCAAAUUAAUGUAGUUUAUUGUUGUUGUUUGUAGUAAAUGACCUAUAUUUGGUAUGUUAAAGUCUUUGCAUUUUGUAAAUGGAUCGUUUAGUUCGUAUGUUUCAUAGUGGGAUUGUGAAAGAGAAUGGGGAGUUUGAGAAUAUGAAUGAGGUAGUGGAGUUGUUCGAUGCUCGUCCAAGUUUUAAAGAUUUAGUUGAGCGUGUAAUGACAGAGUAUGGAUGUGGAGUGGAUGAGAUGACAUUGAGAGGCCAUUCUGAUUGUAGGAAAGCUAGACCUCAUUAUGUUCUCAUGAAUUUGGCAUGCGAGUCUAAUUGAAAGCAAUAGAAGCAGGUAGUUGAGCAUACAAAUGUUGUAUGUUUGGACGUGGUAGUUGAUAUUUGUCGUAGGCCUAGCACAAAUGUUGCCUUGAGAGAUGAACUCCAGAAAGUGGUUGAGAAUGGUACCCAAGAGUCAACAAUUUUAUAGCAUGGCUUAGGUAAAAGCCAAUCUGAUUUUGGCUUGGCCAUUGGAAUGGUGAUUUUCCUAAUGAUACUUUUGAGCGGGAAGAAGCAAACAUAGAUGAUGAUGACACAACUCUAGGUUCCGAAGAUGAUGAUGUUGAGGAGGAGGAUAGGGUAGAAGAUAUUCAGGCCAACGCGCAUGAAGAUGUAGUAGUCAGAGAUGGAUCUGA
RNAcentral lists this long non-coding RNA (37657 nucleotides) under Setaria italica (foxtail millet). Its description in RNAcentral is "long non-coding RNA (SITA_LNC003781)". Lineage: Eukaryota; Viridiplantae; Streptophyta; Magnoliopsida; Poales; Poaceae. The record is from RNAcentral.